AUUGAACGCUGGUGGCAGGCUUAACACAUGCAAGUCGAACGGUAACAGGAAUUAGCUUGCUAAUUUGCUGACGAGUGGCGGACGGGUGAGUAAUGCUUGGGAAUCUGGCUUAUGGAGGGGGAUAACUACGGGAAACUGUAGCUAAUACCGCGUAAAAUCUUCGGAUUAAAGGGUGGGACUUUCGAGCCACCUGCCAUAAGAUGAGCCCAAGUGGGAUUAGGUAGUUGGUUAGGUAAAGGCUGACCAAGCCGACGAUCUCUAGCUGGUCUGAGAGGAUGACCAGCCACACUGGAACUGAGACACGGUCCAGACUCCUACGGGAGGCAGCAGUGGGGAAUAUUGGACAAUGGGGGGAACCCUGAUGCAGCCAUGCCGCGUGAAUGAAGAAGGCCUUCGGGUUGUAAAGUUCUUUCGGUGACGAGGAAGGUUGAUAGGUUAAUAGCCUAUCAAAUUGACGUUAAUCACAGAAGAAGCACCGGCUAACUCCGUG
Molecule: ribosomal RNA, 490 nt
Filed under: uncultured bacterium
Lineage: Bacteria
Description: partial 16S ribosomal RNA
Rfam family: Bacterial small subunit ribosomal RNA
Source: RNAcentral